UCACACACACACACACACAUGCAGGCACAAGCAGAUUCUACUACAAAUACCUGUCUUCUGCUAUAGGACCAUACUCUCACCUGACAUCAUACUCAGUCCAGUCAACAUUGCUCGGGAAGAUGUGGCUUCUUCUAGUCUGACACAGAAUAAUGAAUACGUGCAGAACCCAGUAACCUCAAGGGCCUCAACAAAGUCUGAGGUCUGAAUCAAUCGAGACGCAUCAGGUUGCAAGAAAUGCCACACAACCUCCUUUGUUGGUGAGAGGCUUGGCCACCACCCACACAUUUCCACAGGAUAGGAUGUGUUCAGGUGAGCAGCUGACCCCAGGUGCUUAUGAUCCCUGCAGCAAACUCUGUUCAUCACAGAAAUGUUGUUCAAAGCACAGGAACCCUCAAUUCAUCGGUGAGUAGGGGAGAGCAAUGGUUUAGCAAAUUGAGUAUUUUUGUUUCAGCACUUCAGAGUUGCUGGAUAUCUUGCUCAAAUUUAUUGCUCCUAGCUAGUAGAGUACACUAAAUACAAAUAAAUUUUUCUUUCUUUUUCUUUUUUCUUUUUUUUUGAGACAGGGU
Homo sapiens (human) is the source of this 566-nucleotide long non-coding RNA. RefSeq lists it as uncharacterized. The transcript has 3 exons. NCBI's taxonomy places the organism in Eukaryota, Metazoa, Chordata, Mammalia, Primates, Hominidae. The record is from RefSeq and is a predicted model, not a curated record.